GGACGGUACAACGAGUCGCAAACUCGCGAGAGUAAGCUAAUCUCUUAAAGCCGUUCUCAGUUCGGACUGUAGGCUGCAACUCGCCUACACGAGGUCGGAAUCGCUAGUAAUCGCGGAUCAGCAUGCCGCGGUGAAUACGUUCCCGGGCCUUGUACACACCGCCCGUCACACCAUGGGAGUUCGUAACGCCCAAAGUCGGUGGCCUAACCUUUAUGGAGGGAGCCGCCUAAGGCGGGACAGAUGACUGGGGUGAAGUCGUAACAAGGUACC
RNAcentral lists this ribosomal RNA (270 nucleotides) under uncultured bacterium. RNAcentral's name for it is "partial 16S ribosomal RNA". It matches the Rfam family "Bacterial small subunit ribosomal RNA", at positions 1232 to 1500 of the family's 1533-position model. The record is from RNAcentral.